RNAcentral lists this long non-coding RNA (324 nucleotides) under Bos taurus (domestic cattle). RNAcentral describes it as "long non-coding RNA NONBTAT004770". The record is from RNAcentral. Lineage: Eukaryota; Metazoa; Chordata; Mammalia; Artiodactyla; Bovidae.
CCCAGCUGAUUUUUCUAUACUGCGCUGUCUUCAUGUUUAUAAUUUGUGAGUGUUUACUGUUCCAGGCCAUAGAUAUAACCAUAGUUUGGUUAGUCAUUCUUGGGGUAUUUUGAGUUGACAUUUAUGUAAGCAAGACUACAAAGAACACAUUUGUAUUUGUAGCCUUUUCAUUCCUUGGGAUGUUUUCCCAAAGAUAAAUUCUUAUAAGUGACAAAUUAUAGACACUCCAUGGUAUUUACGGUAUUGGGACAUAUUAGUUUCUAGAAGUGUUAUGGCACAUUUCCAGCAACACCAGCAAGGUAACUUUGAGUUAUACUUAAUAUU